AGUUAGCUAUUUAAGCCUGGUUUAAGCUGCUUAUCUUAGGUGAACUAACUGCUUAAGCCCCAGCUUGGGUGAAUGAAAUGCAACAAGAAUUAACCUUUUUUCUCUUUCUGCUGAUCUUUACUUUCUCACACUAGAGCUAGCUAAUUCCCCUGGUAUUCUCAUCUCAGAUUCACCAUAUCACUGCGGCAAACAUGCAUUUAGAAGCAUGUACAUGUAGUGGUGGGAGACUGGGAGUGCGUUUGGAUUAGAAAGUUAAAAAAUUAACAAGUGCUGCUUCAGAAGUUGCACGUGACCUGCUUCUUCAGAGAUGAAUACAAAUAGUAAUAUGUUUGGUACAGUUAUCUUAGCAGUUUCUCUUAUCUUUACUACAAAGGCAAGUCUGCGGUCUUAAUGGAUCGAUAUCCCUCGCACUCUCGUGCAAAUCAGCCCACCCCUUGUCCCAUCCCCG
RNAcentral lists this long non-coding RNA (448 nucleotides) under Hordeum vulgare. RNAcentral's name for it is "long non-coding RNA (HVUL_LNC004110)". The record is from RNAcentral. Lineage: Eukaryota; Viridiplantae; Streptophyta; Magnoliopsida; Poales; Poaceae.